RNAcentral lists this ribosomal RNA (427 nucleotides) under uncultured bacterium. RNAcentral's name for it is "partial 16S ribosomal RNA". It matches the Rfam family "Bacterial small subunit ribosomal RNA", at positions 355 to 774 of the family's 1533-position model. The record is from RNAcentral.
UGGGGAAUAUUGGACAAUGGGCGAAAGCCUGAUCCAGCCAUGCCGCGUGUGUGAAGAAGGUCUUCGGAUUGUAAAGCACUUUAAGUUGGGAGGAAGGGCAGUUACCUAAUACGUGAUUGUUUUGACGUUACCGACAGAAUAAGCACCGGCUAACUCUGUGCCAGCAGCCGCGGUAAUACAGAGGGUGCAAGCGUUAAUCGGAAUUACUGGGCGUAAAGCGCGCGUAGGUGGUUUGUUAAGUUGGAUGUGAGAUCCCCGGGCUCAACCUGGGAACUGCAUUCAAAACUGACUGACUAGAGUAUGGUAGAGGGUGGUGGAAUUUCCAGUGUAGCGGUGAAAUGCGUAGAUAUAGGAAGGAACACCAGUGGCGAAGGCGACCACCUGGACUAAUACUGACACUGAGGUGCGAAAGCGUGGGGAGCAAACA